CAUGGCGUACUGCUCAGUAACACGUGGAUAACCUGCCCUUGGGUCCGGCAUAACCCCGGGAAACUGGGGAUAAUUCCGGAUAACGCACAUAUGCUGGAAUGCUUUAUGCGUCAAAUGGAUUCGUCUGCCCAAGGAUGGGUCUGCGGCCUAUCAGGUAGUAGUGGGUGUAAUGUACCUACUAGCCGACGACGGGUACGGGUUGUGAGAGCAAGAGCCCGGAGAUGGAUUCUGAGACAUGAAUCCAGGCCCUACGGGGCGCAGCAGGCGCGAAAACUUUACAAUGCGGGAAACCGUGAUAAGGGGACACCGAGUGCCAGCAUCAUAUGCUGGCUGUCCGGGUGUGUAAAAUACACCUGUUAGCAAGGGCCGGGCAAGACCGGUGCCAGCCGCCGCGGUAACACCGGCGGCCCGAGUGGUGAUCGUGAUUAUUGGGUCUAAAGGGUCCGUAGCCGGUUUGGUCAGUCCUCCGGGAAAUCUGACGGCUUAACCGUUAGGCUUUCGGAGGAUACUGCCAGGCUUGGAACCGGGAGAGGUAAGAGGUACUACAGGGGUAGGAGUGAAAUCUUGUAAUCCCUGUGGGACCACCUGUGGCGAA
This 595-nucleotide ribosomal RNA is filed under the name Methanosarcina sp. enrichment culture clone A05. RNAcentral describes it as "bacterial SSU rRNA". It matches the Rfam family "Archaeal small subunit ribosomal RNA", at positions 77 to 670 of the family's 1478-position model. Lineage: Archaea; Methanobacteriati; Methanobacteriota; Methanomicrobia; Methanosarcinales; Methanosarcinaceae. The record is from RNAcentral.